Molecule: ribosomal RNA, 1279 nt
Filed under: Triticum aestivum (bread wheat)
Lineage: Eukaryota; Viridiplantae; Streptophyta; Magnoliopsida; Poales; Poaceae
Description: partial small subunit ribosomal RNA
Source: RNAcentral
GAAUCCCCGAUCCAAAAAGGCAGAGACCGAGAGGGAGAUCUCAUCUCGGCACGUUCGUCGCCUCGUGCGCAUCACCACUUCACCACAAUCCCCAUUUCCCAAAGCUCGACCAAAGCCGUGACACUCCUCCCCGCCGCGGCCCAAACCCUAGCCACCCCCGCCGAUCCCAAUGGCCGCCGCCCACCACCGGCCCCUCCACGCCCUCCUCGGCGGCGGCGCAGUCGCCGACCUGCUCCUCUGGAGGCGGAGGAACGCCUCCGCGGCGGCCGUCGCGGGCGCCACGCUCGUCUGGUUCCUCUUCGAGCGCGCCGGGUACAGCCUCGCGUCGGUCCUCUCCAACGCCCUCCUCCUCCUCGUCGUCAUCCUCUUCUUCUGGGCCAAGUCCGCCUCGCUGCUCAACAGACCUCUUCCACCACUGCCUAAUCUAGAGGUCUCAGAUGGGGUCGUUGAGAAAGUUGUAGGUCGGGCUCUUGUAUGGAUAAACAAGGUGUUGGCUGUUGCCCAUGACAUUGCCAUCAAGAGAGACCGGACAGUUUUUAUACAGGUUAUAAUGGCUCUAUGGGUGGUUUCAUGUAUUGGGAUGCUCUUCAACUUCUUUACGCUCAUUUACAUUGGUGUACUACUCGCUCUGUUGGUUCCCCCGGUAUAUGAGAGGCACCAGGAUGUUAUUGAUGAAAAGGUUGGUUUAGCACACAGCAUACUGUCAAGGCAGUUGAGUACCGUCGCUAGCAAGACAGGGCAACCACCUAAACAAAAGAAGGCUGAGUAGAAGAUAUUUUGGCCCAUUUGGAAGCUCUCCAGUUGUCCUACUAUGUUACAAACACCGUGAUCCAUCCACCGCUGAGAGUAUUUCUGGAUAUCCAGGGCAUAAUGUUUAACUGCUGAUACGUGGGUUUAGAUGCACGCUCUUCAAUCUGGGAAGUGGAAUGAUUUGUAUAUUGUUUCCAUGAACAUGAAACUUGUCGAGGUUUACCAUGGGCACAUCUUGUGGAUAAUGCUGUAUACCUUUGCUCGCAACAUAGCUCUCUCUACGUGCGAUGUUGUGUCUUGCAUGUACAAAUGCGGUGCUUGCUCGUGUCUGUCGUUGGUUCUGUAUGUCUAUUCUGCAGUAUCAUGUCGCAACAUGAUUCCUAAGGGUGGUUGCACUGAAAAGGUACCACGUGUAGCUGGGGAGUUGUAUGCUGUAUAUACUAACCACUUGCAAUGCGUGCUCUGCGUGUUUGAACUUUGAGGCCACUUUUUGAACCCAAAGUUCCAGCUCAAAGGUCCUUAAUUGACG